This is a non-coding RNA of Podarcis lilfordi (Lilford's wall lizard), 3580 nucleotides long. The record is from the annotation of a GenBank genome assembly. Lineage: Eukaryota; Metazoa; Chordata; Lepidosauria; Squamata; Lacertidae.
GUGCAACAGAGCUCUCCCUGUGAUUAUUCUUUCUGCACCCUAAACACCAAAGCUAGAGCACAGCAGUCAUGCGCCCCAUAGAAUCGUACUCAUAAUUUUCCUAUCGUUCAGAGACUUUUCUGUCCAUUUCGUUCAGUAACAGCAGAACUGGAUGCCAGAAUUGUACACCAGACGUGCCUUAUGUUCUGGACAGAGGACAGACACAAAGAGCUUUUAUGUGAGUGUCACAAUUGCUGAUGUAGGUGCAUUUCUUCCCAUCAGUGAGGGGCACUGUGCGCUUCUCUCUCUCUUUUUUUCGCUAUUUUUCAGACUUUGUACACAUUUUAUGUUAUAAAGAGUGCACGCUUGUACUUAGGUGUAUGGCUGACAGCUAAGAACAUAAAUAUUUUUAAAGGUAAUUAUACAAUUUCUUCGAGAGGAAUAAAGAAAAAUUUAGAGAUUUGGAUAAGGAUGAAAUUAUCACUAUGGGGAAGGAUAUCAGUAAUAAAAAUGAAUUUUUUAUUGAUAAAAAUUGCCAAGCAUGUUAUACCCAUGAUCAGCAGCACAGGACACUUCAAAGAAUGGCAAAAAGUUAUUUCAAGAGUUAUCUGGCAGGGGGAGAAACCAAGAAUAAAGUAUAAAUUAAUAACAGAUUCUCCUUGCCAGGCUUAAAAUUAUAUUAUGAGGUGUCCUGUCUCUGUUGGCUGCAGGAAUAGGUAACAUUGGAAAAUUUAGAUAUUUUAGAUUUGGAAGGGCAUGAUAAUAGAUUUGGUUGGCAUGCAUAUUUAUGGUAUGAAAAAGCAAAAGUACAUAAAGGUUUUCUGAACCAUUUAGUAAGAAGAUCGUUUUUUUUUAUGUUGUGGGAGAAAUAUAAUAAAUAAAAAUAUAAUAAAUAGAACAGAAAACACCAUGGUGGCUCUCUCCAUUAGAAGCGAUAUCCUUGAAAAAAUAAAAUAUUUAAUAUUUAAAAAUUAAAUAUGAGAAGCAAUUGGGUGACAUAUAGAGAACUGUUCUACUUCAGUUAAGUAGAACAUCAGUUGAAAUUGAAGGAUUUUGAAGAAAGGAUUUAUUAACUGAUUGGCUACAAUUUCAUCAAUUAAACAAUAUUUUCAAGAUAGACAAAAAGAGAGGUUUUAGUUAUGAGACCUCAAGAUUUGAAAAAGAUUUGUUAGAAAAUAAUAUAAAAUUAUUGUCGAAAAUGUAUAAAUUGCUUUUGAAAUGGCGUACAAAGGUUGAACAGGUUAAAUCUGGGAGAGGGAUUUGGGACACAAUAUCCAACUUUCAGAUUGCAAAAGGUUAUGGAAAACUGAUUUGAAAUUCUUGGCGUGUUGUAUGCUGAAUGAAAACAAUAUGAAAAUGAUGUACUGAUGGUAUUUGAUUCCCAGUAAGUUAGCAAAAAAUGUAUAAGUCAGGUACAAAUAUCUGUUGGAAAUGAAAAGAAAAAGAAGGCACCUUUUAUCAUAUGUGGUGGUCUUGUAAGGUAAUAAAAGCUUUCUGGGAGAUAAAAAAAUGAGAUGAAAAAAAUGUUCAAAUUAACUUUUGUAAAAAAACACACCAGAGGCUUUUUUAUUAGGAAUUAUAGGUGCUGAUAUUCCAAGGGAGUAGAAAAGACUUUUUAUGUAUGCGACGACAGUCGCACAGAUGCUAUUAGCCCAGCAAAACUGACCGGAAAGCUCAGGAACCAAGAAGACCAAAACUUUAACAAAGAAUGGGAAAAAAUUAUAAUUUAUCUUGGAGACCACUGUAAGCAGAUGAAAACGUUAGCAGGAUUGCAAUAACACUUGUAAUGUAGCAAAUACUAUGGAGACAAUAGAAUAAAGUUAUAUAAAAUAUAGAUUAUUGGAAAAGAUGCAGCAGAAAGGGUUUAAUAAUAGGACCCAUGAGGAGAGGUGGGAAAUCCAGAGAUUCGGAGGAAUCUGUAAAUGUGUAUGUGUAUGGUUGUAUUGUUAAAAUUUUAUGUUUGUAAAAUCAAAUAAAAAUUAUUUCAAAAAGAGAGAGAGUGCAAGCGAGAAGCACAUGAGCUACUGAUUCAAUACUGCCAUCUCCACAUGGAAAUAACCGUUUUUCCAGUGGAAUUGUUUUGAAAUUGACCCUCAAGUACAGCUGAAGGCAGUAUAUUUAAUCUUGCGUACAGUAAGUGAAAGCAAGUCUGUAUUUUGGAAUUGUUAAAUUUUGCAAAUAGUGCGCCAAGGUCUCAAAAUUACUAGGUGGGAAAAAAAUUAUACAAUGGACAAAAUUUCCUUUUCGUGGCCAAAUUAUUCUGUCGCUCAAUAUCGUAUAUGAGCUGUCUAAUUAAAUUAUUUGCUUUACUGAAGUCCAGUGUUAAUAACUGUUGUGAUGAUAAACCGAAAGUAAAGCUUUCGGUUGACAAUUUUGGUCUAAGCGCUCUCAUGACAUUCUUGCGAUACUAAGGGUAGUAGACCAGUGGGUUUUAAAUUUAGCCGGAGCCAAUAAUUAAAUGUCCUGCACCAAAUCUGUAAUUCAACAGUGGGGAGAUUAGCCUUGCAAGCGCAAUGAAGCAUUUGGAACACAGGAUGGAACAGGAAAAAAUUGCCUUAGGAACUUAGAUUGAACAGCUUCUGUAGAUCCAAGGUGAGUGCCUGUCCAAGUCUGAGCCCUAUAUAAUAACUGCUUCAUCACUUGCAUGUGGCCCCUGAAAGGUUGCUCACAAGAGAAUAUGGCCCUCAGGCUGAAAAAUGUUCCCUACUCCAGCUUUGCUGCCAUUGUGUCCCUCUAAGCAGUCGCCCUCCAACACCUGCUUUCUGUGCUGUCUUGGCAAAAGAGGCUCAUGAGACUGUGUGUUUGCUGAGAUAAUGUCUACAUUGGGCCAGAGUGCAGGGCUAGAUGGACGCUUGGUCUGACUUAGCAAGUUCUUAUUUUAGAAACCCAGCACAAGGGUGCCUCUCUUGAACCUCCCUCCAAGGUCAACAGUGCUUGUGAGCUGGCACUGAUGAAGCACAAUUUCUUCUGCCCAAGCAAACCUGAAAUGUUGCUCGAAGCGGAGCAACCAGGUUAACCCAAGCGUGUUUCUUUAUUUCCUAUAAAGGAGUUUCACCAUCCUUGUCCCAAACAAUCACUUUGCUGUGUCUUUGCUUCUUGGGAGAUAGAUCACAUUGUACUCUGGCCACUUGCUUGCAAAGGGUGUCCAGUGAGAAGUCAUCAGCAUGAAACAAACUGAACAGACAAAGGCAAAAUGAGGGCGCGCUCCAGAGAUAUAUCCUUGAAGAAUCACAGAAUCAUAGAAUGUAGAGUUACAUUCCAACCCCCUCCAAUCUCAACCAAAGCACCAAAUGGCAGAUAGCCAUCCAACCUCUGCUUAGAAACCGACAAGGAAGCAGAGUCUACCACCUUCCAAGGGAGUCCAUUCCACUGGCAACAGCUUUUACGGUAAGAAAGUUAUUAUCCCAGCGGGACUUGACAUCUUUCCACAGGGCCUGCAAUAUAGAGCUGUUCCACCAGGCCUUUGGCCAGGGCACAGCCUGACCCCCUCCUUUGGCAAUCCUCACAGAACUCUAGCCCAAUGGUUGCCAUUAAUCUGAUUUGAACAGAUUUUAUAAUGAAAUUAUUUUAGAAUGUUGUAUCAUUUUACUGUUGUUAGCCG